UUGGCUUAGAAGCAGCCAUCUUUUAAAGAUAGCGUAACAGCUCACUGGUCUAAUUAAGUUGUCCUGCGGCGAAGAUGUAACGGGGCUCAAGCCAUGAGCCGAAACUUCGGAUGCAUUUAAUGCAUGGUAGCGGAGCGUAGUGUGACAUAGUUCCAUGCGUCCUUCGUUUUAUAGCGGACUGCCCAGGCUUUCGAGCCUGUGUGGAGGCGCGUAAAAUACUGGACGCAAGGAGCUUUCUGUGAAGCCGGCCUGUGAGGGAUCCGGUGGAGAGAUCACUAGUGAGAAUGAUGACAUGAGUAACGACAAAGGGGGUGAGAGACCCCCUCGCCGAAAAUCCAAGGGUUCCUGCUUAAAGCUAAUCUGAGCAGGGUAAGCCGGCCCCUAAGCCGAGGGCGAAAGCCGUAGGCGAUGGGAACCAGGUUAAUAUUCCUGGGCCAGGAGGAAGUGACGGAUCAUGAAGAUUGUUGGAUCAGGCGUAGUUGCCCCAGCAGUUAAUUGGUUCCUGGAAAUAGCCCUCCAUCAGACCGUACCCUAAACCGACACAGGUGGAUAGGUAGAGUAUACCAAGGCGCUUGAGAGAACUAUGUUGAAGGAACUCGGCAAAAUACCUCCGUAAGUUCGCGAGAAGGAGGCCCGGUUUCUAGGCAACUGGAAGCUGGGGGCACAAACCAGGGGGUGGCGACUGUUUACUAAAAACACAGGGCUCUGCGAAGUCGCAAGACGACGUAUAGGGUCUGACGCCUGCCCGGUGCCUGAAGGUUAAAAGGAGGGGUGAGAGCUCCGAAUUGAAGCCCAGGUAAACGGCGGCCGUAACUAUAACGGUCCUAAGGUAGCGAAAUUCCUUGUCGGGUAAGUUCCGACCUGCACGAAUGGCGUAACGACUUCCCCGCUGUCUCCAACAUAGACUCAGUGAAAUUGAAUUGCCUGUCAAGAUGCAGGCUUCCCGCGGUUAGACGGAAAGACCCCGUGCACCUUUACUACAGCUUCACACUGGCAUUAGGUCAGACGUGUGCAGGAUAGGUGGUAGGCUUUGAAACUCGGACGCCAGUUCGGGUGGAGCCUCCCUUGAGAUACCACCCCUGUCUGUCUUGAUGUCUAACCGCGGUCCGUUAUCCGGAUCCGGGACCCUGUGUGGCGGGUAGUUUGACUGGGGCGGUCGCCUCCUAAAGAGUAACGGAGGCGCGCGAUGGUUGGCUCAGACCGGUCGGAAAUCGGUCGUCGAGUGCAAUGGCAUAAGCCAGCCUGACUGUGAGUCUGACAAGACGAGCAGAGACGAAAGUCGGUCAUAGUGAUCCGGUGGUCCCGAGUGGAAGGGCCAUCGCUCAACGGAUAAAAGGUACGCCGGGGAUAACAGGCUGAUACUGCCCAAGAGUCCAUAUCGACGGCAGUGUUUGGCACCUCGAUGUCGGCUCAUCUCAUCCUGGGGCUGGAGCAGGUCCCAAGGGUAUGGCUGUUCGCCAUUUAAAGAGGUACGUGAGCUGGGUUUAGAACGUCGUGAGACAGUUCGGUCCCUAUCUGCCGUGGGUGUAGGAGACUUGAUGGGAGUUGCCCCUAGUACGAGAGGACCGGGGUGAACGAUCCACUGGUGGAUCUGUUGUUGCGCCAGCAGCAGUGCAGAGUAGCUAUGAUCGGACAGGAUAACCGCUGAAGGCAUCUAAGCGGGAAGCCCCCCCAGAAACAAGGUCUCCCUUGAGGGCCGUGGAAGACCACCACGUCGAUAGGUCGGAGAUGUAAGUGCUGUAAAGCAUUCAGUUGACCGAUACUAAUUGCCCGAUAGGCUUGAUUUG
Molecule: ribosomal RNA, 1787 nt
Filed under: marine metagenome
Description: bacterial LSU rRNA
Rfam family: Bacterial large subunit ribosomal RNA
Source: RNAcentral